RNAcentral lists this long non-coding RNA (1197 nucleotides) under Anas zonorhyncha (Eastern spot-billed duck). Its description in RNAcentral is "lncRNA (ENSAZOG00000001770.1)". Lineage: Eukaryota; Metazoa; Chordata; Aves; Anseriformes; Anatidae. The record is from RNAcentral.
GAAUCGCAAAGAUCAGCUUCAAGAAUGACAGGACUGGAGCCAUUAGCAAGCUCAUCCAGCAGUAAUCAUCCGUCAGAGACUGUCAGCCCAGGGGUGUGUUUGCUCAGCAAUGGAUGAAGCUGGCAGUGACUCCACCAGGCUGAGUAGUUGCAACACUCAGUGGGAGACCAUCUUCUCCUCAACCAGUGCUAGGUGAGAAGCAGUUCGACCUGGUUUGUAAUUUGGAAUAUCUCUCAUGUGGUCAUUGAGAUGAAGAGUUGAUGGACAGUCUCCAGGGAACUGCAACACCAAUUUGGAUUUGGUAUUUCCUACCGAGAGCACAGGCAGUGCCAACACCGCAGAAGAGAACGAGGAGUAAGGGCUCCAGCUGCUCCUCCACUGCUCGUCAGCUUCUGCAGGCCUCACCUCUGUGAGGCAGCCUGGUGGUACCGGGCAGUGUUCGAACUGGUCAAAAUGUGGUGAGAAACAGACAAUUUCAUUCUCCUCGCUCAAAGCUGGGAUAGCCUCCAGAUUAAAUUCCACCUCCUGGUAACUCCUACUGGAUGUAUCUUCUACCAAAGGCCUGUGGAAAGGACCUGAACCAGAGGAGGUUUGGCCCUUCGCAUCUGUGGUGCAGAAUCCAGCGGUGCAUUAUUCUGAUUAGAAGGUCUAAAACAGUGAAUAGAGCAUAUAAAACUGUCUACUGUGUUUCAUCAUACAUAAUUCGCUGCAGCAACCUACAGCCAUCCAAGCUGCUUCAGCCUCCCUCUCACAACCCACUGGUGCCCUGAGAGAUGCUGUCCCAGCAGAGGGGUNNNNNNNNNNUCACAACCCUGAGAGAUGCUGUCCCAGCAGAGGGGUCCCUGCGUCACCAGCACCUCAGCACUGACAGAGCAGUGUGAUGCCUUCAGAGCAUUCAGCGGGUCCCUCACCUUUUACUGGGCAUCUGAAACUGCCGUGGGGAGAGGCAGGAGGCACCCCGGGGCCUGGCUGUCCCCACAGAGAGUGCGUGACCACCUCUGGGGAAAGAACUUCGGGAGCGCCCAGGCUGCGCAGCAGGAAAACAAUGAGCAGGAGAAAACCUGGAAGCUUUUUGCUGCACUGUUGAAUAUGGAAAUAUAAAAACGUUUGUACCUGGAGCAUCUCUGUCCCUCUUUCCAAUGGGUGACUUCUGAAGCUGGAACUACCCCGCUACCUGCAGCAGCCACUUCUUUCACU